RNAcentral lists this transfer RNA (77 nucleotides) under Candidatus Scalindua sp. RNAcentral describes it as "tRNA-Val". It matches the Rfam family "tRNA". From Rfam's summary of the family: Transfer RNA (tRNA) molecules are approximately 80 nucleotides in length. RNAcentral also lists the same sequence under 1 other name. Lineage: Bacteria; Pseudomonadati; Planctomycetota; Candidatus Brocadiia; Candidatus Brocadiales; Candidatus Scalinduaceae. The record is from RNAcentral.
GGGCGAUUAGCUCAGUUGGCUAGAGCACUUCCCUUACAAGGAAGAAGUCAUAGGUUCGAGUCCUAUAUCGCCCACCA